CACGCAUGACACACUGCAUAUCAAUAAGCGGAGGAAAAGAAACUAACAAGGAUUCCCUUAGUAACGGCGAGUGAAGCGGGAAGAGCUCAAAUUUGAAAUCUUCAAGGUUUUACCUUGACGAAUUGUAGUUUAUAGAAGUGUUUUCUGUUAGUAGAGUUUGGUAAAAGUUCUUUGGAAUAGGACAUCAUAGAGGGUGAGAAUCCCGUAUUUGGUCAUUCUUUCUAGCUUUGUGAUACACUUUCAAAGAGUCGGAUUGUUUGGGAAUGCAGUCCAAAAUGGGUGGUAAAUUUCAUCUAAAGCUAAAUAUUGGCGAGAGACCGAUAGCGAACAAGUACCGUGAGGGAAAGAUGAAAAGAACUUUGAAAAGAGAGUUAAACAGUACGUGAAAUUGUCAAAAGGGAAGCGUUUGACACCAGUGUUGUUUUCUCGAAAAUCAAUUAAAAAUGGCUGGAUUUUGUGUUGUAUUGACCUUAAAAGCUUUCUUCACUUUUUUCAUGUCUUUUUUAAUGCACUUUUCGUUUAACAAGUCAACAUCAGUUUCUUUUGUUGUAAAAAGGUCAUUGGAAGGUGGCUUUCUUUUCGGAGAAAGUGUUUAUAGCCUUUGACUCCUGCAAUCGGAGAGACUGAGGUCUGCAGCGUAGAUCCUUCUUUGGAUUAGAUUCAUUUGUGCUAAGUUAUAGCUUUUUAUAGACAACUUGUUGACUAUAUUUAGUCUUGUAGCUUACUCGCUUAUGCAAUUUUACCUACGCUUAGGAUGUUGACUGAUAUGUAGUCGUA
This 777-nucleotide ribosomal RNA is filed under the name uncultured Neocallimastigales. Its description in RNAcentral is "partial large subunit ribosomal RNA". It matches the Rfam family "Eukaryotic large subunit ribosomal RNA", at positions 24 to 644 of the family's 3401-position model. Lineage: Eukaryota; Fungi; Neocallimastigomycota; Neocallimastigomycetes; Neocallimastigales. The record is from RNAcentral.